Gasterosteus aculeatus aculeatus (three-spined stickleback) is the source of this 1731-nucleotide long non-coding RNA. NCBI's taxonomy places the organism in Eukaryota, Metazoa, Chordata, Actinopteri, Perciformes, Gasterosteidae. The record is from Ensembl.
GUGUCGAAGAGGAGUCGCGCUUCUUCCCGGAAGCAGAACAUCGUGGGGGACAGUCCUCACUCCGAUAAAAGCUGUCAUUAUCAUCUCUCCAGCUCCAGACUUUCCUUUUUCUUUCCUGUCAUCUGUGAAUAAUUCUCUCCAUCAAAGAAAGAGGGACGCGGAGACGCGGCUUGUGCUCAAGUGCUCGUGCUGUUUCGCUCCUGCUAAUGAAUCCCGUCCUGCGCAGAACAAACAGUAUCCACCACGAGCUACGCGACAAACACACGGUGCGGCAGGACUGAUCCGCAACUGUAAAUUUGGGAUCCAGGCAAGGCGGCCGACACACACACACACACACACACACACACACACAGCAGUUUACAGUAUGUGCGUAGUUGAUGUGUGCUUCAGGUUAGCGUAGUGUUUCAUCUAGGAGGCACGUGAUCUGACGAAAAAAAAAGAAAAAAGAAAGCCAUCCCAGAAUGGCCAUUCCAACCCGGACCAAAGGUUCAUGCCUGUGUACAGACUAUAAAAGAAGAAAAUCACUAUGUCGAUAUUUUUCUUUGCAACGUUGGUGUCCAGCAUCGGCCGCACUGUGUGGGAACACGUCUCACGCGGUUCCUAGCGGGACAAGGACAUUUUUGGACGCCUUCUCCAGGCUCCGCAUCCCCUUGUUUCAGACUUAAGCGCCACGUGGGUUUUAUUGAUGUCAGAGGAGCCAAAAAAAACGAGGACAGCCUCAUCGUUUUAAGCAUGUUACGCAACCUCGCAGUGUGUACCUCCUCCUCGUGCUUUCCGUCACCAUCAUCACGACGUGCACAUUUCCCAUCAGCAUUUUUGCGUUGUUGUUUGCUGUGGUACGACACACACACACACACACACACACACAUCCAUCAGCCGGAGUGGAUUCAUUACAUUUCUACGGCCCACUGAGGAUGCGACGCUGUGACCGCUUGACGCUUUCUGGCCGGACCGGCAGACGUUUCCCACUGAAGGACUGCGCAGGUUGAGCGGAUCCCGCCUGUCGGAUCGGACCAGCGUCUCGCCACAGGAUGUAUCCCACGGGGAAGGAUUUCACCACUGUUUUGUUUUUCUAUCAUCGCAGGACUGUUUUUUUUCUUUUCUCUCCUCGAUGAGGUCAUCGUCCGGCUUCAACUAAAAAAAAAAAAAAGAUUUAUCUUCAAGUCCACUUCUUGUCCCCGACAAGACUUUAGAGGGACACACGUGUCCGUAUUGCUUUUAUUAGUGUGUUUCCGUGUUUGGUGGGCGUGUUUGUUUUGUAUUUGUGUGCGCCUGUGUGUGUAUGCCCGUGUGUCACUGUGACCUCGUGUGUCUGUGUGUGUGUGUGUGUGUGUGUGUGACACGUUUCUGUGCUCACUCGCGGCCUCGUCCCCUUUCUGUCUUUGCCUCCCUCGCUCCCCAAAUCCCGGCAUCCACGGACACAGAAACCCUUGUCUCGCAGCCAAAUGUGUCUACUGUCCCGUGUCUUUACAAGGAGCCAUUGUACGUGUGUGCGUGUGUGUGUGCGUGUGUGUGUGUGUACUAUAGGUGCCUCAUUGCACUAGGUUGGGAAACGCUGUCUUCCAUGGACAUUAGUUGGUAUUGUCUACGUGGUAAUCAGAAAUCAGCUGCCAAUCAUUCGACCCUCUUCUCCUCUCUGACCCUUUGCCUGAUCAUCUCUCCAGUAAAGGGACGAGGGGUUGGAAAGGAUUAAACAAAUGAAGGAGGAUGAAGAGCGGGAGAAUGCCAGAG